UGUUUACAACUAAUUGAUCACAACCAG
RNAcentral lists this non-coding RNA (27 nucleotides) under Cricetulus griseus (Chinese hamster). RNAcentral also lists the same sequence under 1 other name. Lineage: Eukaryota; Metazoa; Chordata; Mammalia; Rodentia; Cricetidae. The record is from RNAcentral.